Cimex lectularius (bed bug) is the source of this 236-nucleotide long non-coding RNA. RefSeq lists it as uncharacterized. The record is from RefSeq and is a predicted model, not a curated record. The transcript is spliced from 2 exons. NCBI's taxonomy places the organism in Eukaryota, Metazoa, Arthropoda, Insecta, Hemiptera, Cimicidae.
AGUCGCUUUGAGCGUUAGAAAAAAAAAAGAAAAAAGUAAAAAUAAACGUGUGUGACGUGAUCAAAGAUAAAAGAAACUGCUUUUGAAGAAUUCUUGUCGGCUGGUGCUCAUUCAACAAGGCAGAACGGACAAAUCGAUUAGUUACAAAAGGCUCCUGAUGGAAAAAAACGGGCAUCACUUGUUUAGAACUAUUUUACUGCUGAGCAUUGUACCUAGCGAAAAGGUUGCUGGGAUGG